GCCCGGCUGGCACAAUGGUUAGCGCGUGGGACUUUUAAUCCCAAGGCUGUGGGUUCGAGUCCCACGUCGGGCG
This is a non-coding RNA of Bimuria novae-zelandiae CBS 107.79, 73 nucleotides long. The record is from the annotation of a GenBank genome assembly. NCBI's taxonomy places the organism in Eukaryota, Fungi, Ascomycota, Dothideomycetes, Pleosporales, Didymosphaeriaceae.